UGGGUAAUCUGCCCUCGAUACUGGGAUAGCCCCGGGGGAAACCCGGAUUAAUACCGGAUAGCCUCUCGAGUUUUCGGGCUCGUGAGAAAAGGUAGCUUCGGCCUCCGAUCGAGGAUGAGCCCGCGGCGGAUUAGCUUGUUGGUGGGUAAUGGCCCACCAAGGCGACGAUCCGUAGCUGGUCUGAGAGGACGAUCAGCCACACUGGGACUGAGACACGGCCCAGACUCC
Molecule: ribosomal RNA, 228 nt
Filed under: uncultured bacterium
Lineage: Bacteria
Description: partial 16S ribosomal RNA
Rfam family: Bacterial small subunit ribosomal RNA
Source: RNAcentral